CUGAAAGGCAACACAGUCAUUGGUCACAGCCAGCACAGCUUCAUGAGAAGCAAGUCCUGCUUAUCAAGCUGGUUCCCUUUUUUGACAGGAUGACCCACCCAGCUGAUCAAGGGAAGCCAGUUAAUGUUUUGAUACCGUCUCUCACAGGAUCCUUCUGGACCUAAUGUGCAGCCCACAGCUGGAUAAACACAUCAUGGGAUGGGCAAGCAGCUCAGCUGGGUCAUGGGUCAGGCACAAAGGGUUACAGUGAAUGGGGUGACAUCAGACUGGGAACCUGUCACUGGUGGGUUCCACAGGGCCCCAUCCUCAGCCCUCUGAUCUUCAACAUCUUCAAAAGUGAUCUGGACACAGAAGUGGGAGGAAUACUGAGCAAGUCCACAGAUGAUACAAAACUGGGAGGAGCUGGUGAACUGCAACUAUCAGGAUGCAGGUCAUGCAAUUGACCAAUACAGUGGUGAAAAAAUAUUGAGAUCGGAUGUUGUUUGAGAUAUAUCAACAUAGACUCUACCAAAUUAAGCCUGCCUCUGAUCAAGAAGAGCUGUAAGGCUUGCCUCCUAAGACUCUGUAUUCACCAGCUGUAGAGGGGAUGCUGCUGUGGACCAGCUCUGUGGGUCAGUGCAAAACCCACAUCACCCUGAGAUGAGUCCUUAUCCUGCACACAAGUUUCAGGUUUCAAGGCACAUUCAUGCCCUACCCUGACCACUCUGAAGGAAAGCAAUAUGUGUCUUUCUGUUUUCACACUAUGCCAUGGGCAUCAAGUUAAGGAGGCAAGACUUCCAAACACACUGCAGUGAACGUUUGACCAGUCAACUCUGCUCAGUUAGAUUUGACAGAUGACUGACAUAAGCUCCCUGGCUAUAUUAAGACAAAGCAAGUUGCCUGAGUGGCUUCUCCAGCAGCUCAACAGUGUCAGCAGUGAUGCAAGAGAAACUGGAGAUCACCAUUAGUCUUUAAAUUGCCCUACAGAUUCUGGACAGAAUCAGCAUAAAUAAUAUUUUUCUUAACCUGUCAGAAGUAAGGCCAAAGUGUUUUUUACAUAUGAUACCAGUUGUAUCACAAAGUUCAUGGCUGUGCCAGAGAUUCAUAUGCACACUGAAGGGAUUAAAGACAAGCAUAAAGAGUAACAUUUGAACAAAUGUCUCAAAUAUUCUGUAGUGCACCACUUGGAUGCUGGGGUAAAAAUUUGCCUUAAUCAAGCUGUUUUCAAACUAAAGGACAACCAUCUUUAACUGGAGACAGAGUUUUUGUGCUGAUCUCUUUCCCACUCCAUGAGCCACCACUGUACAACUGCUAAACUCAGAAAAUUUACUGAGAAACUUUGUGCAGAAACUUUGCCCAGGCACACCUGGACAGACAGAUACACUCACCUGCCUUCUUGAUGUCAACAAAUUUCCAGAAUCUUCCAGAGAGAAGACUGACCCUGUCCAAAACUCCUUACAGAGGAUGUACUGGAGAAUUUAUUGGAAGAACCAGAAAACAAAUUUUCCAUGCAUACAUUGGCCCCUACCCCUGACAGUGCAGGACUGUGUAUCAUGACUACAGGCCACAGACACACACAUAUCAUCGGAGCCAUGGGUAGUGAUUAUCUAUCUAUCUAUCUAUCUAUCUAUCUAUCUAUCUAAUCUAUCCAUCUAAUCUCUUCUUAUAUCUAUUUCUCCUCUUUCCUUUGCAAUUUUCCUCUCAUAGGAUGAUCAUAAACUUCAGAAUGGCUAUAGACCCCUUUUCCAAUACUUAUUUUCGAUUUUCGAGUUAGAUUUCAAAGCAAUUUCUCAAAUAAAAUUCAUUUUAAUAC
Passer domesticus (house sparrow) is the source of this 1792-nucleotide long non-coding RNA. RefSeq lists it as uncharacterized. The transcript is spliced from 5 exons. Lineage: Eukaryota; Metazoa; Chordata; Aves; Passeriformes; Passeridae. The record is from RefSeq and is a predicted model, not a curated record.